UAUUUAAAAAGACAUGGGCAUUGUAUUCUUCAUGACUUGCCUCCACUUUCCAUCAUUAGCCCAUGUACUGGGCAGGGUCUCCACUUGCUGUCUCCCUUAUUCUGCCUGGUUUCCAAAGGCCUGGUUAUUUAGGUCUCAUUAUGUCUGUGGCCAAAGGUUAUGUCUGUAGCUUCCAGGGUGUGUUGUUGACACCUAAAACAGUUUGGAUGUUUAGUAUUUGUAUUUGAUACAGGCUAGAGGACAGCAUAAUCUUGGGGGUGUCAGUACUCCAACUAGGCUGGCCACCUACUCUUAUUUGUUUACACAAAACACAACAGGUUCAGACCUGAUCCCACAGGAAAUUUACAUACACACUUUGGUUCCAUGUUGGGCAUUUCUGGAAAGCCUGGAAAAUGCCAUGUUAGCCCUAUAAACACUUCCAGGCCAACUGUGGUGGGAAAGCAAGUUUGGGAGGAGGUGAGCUGGUGUGCUCUGGAGCCAACAGGCCUGGCUCUGUUUGUGUUGGCUGGCUGGAGGUGCAUUAUAAAUGCAGUCAGCCAGAGGCCACACUGCUCCUGAGAUUCUUUGCAAGCCUCACUAAGAUGAAGCUGCCCGGCCAGGAGGAGCAUGAAACUUCCAGUGCUCGUGAAAAUGUUUCUGCAGGGGGGCUGGACAGUGACCAUGGCUCUAGUCACAGCCCUAGUGGCUCUUCAGAAACACACAGCAGAGAACUGGGGUUACCCAAGGACCCUCCGCUCUUCAUUCAGCUGAAUGAGCUGCUGGGCUGGCCCGAGGCCCUAGAAUGGAGAGAGACAGGCAGGUGGGUGCUGUUUGAGGAGAAGCUGGAGGUGGGUGCAGGGCGGUGGAGUGCCCCCCAUGUGCCCACCCUGGCACUGCCCAGCCUCCAGAAGCUCCACAGCCUGCUGGCCAAGGGCCUCGUACUGCUGGACUGUCCAGCUCGGAACCUUCUGGAGCUUGUGGAGCAGGUGAUCAGAGCGGAGUCACUGAGUCCAGAGCUGAGAGGGCAGCUGCAGGCUUUGCUGUUGCAGAGACCCCAGCAUUACAUCCAGACCAGGACCUGGCCCUGCUGGGGAUCUACCCCUCCGAGAAAGGCAUCUCUCAAUGAGGGUGUGCCUCCAAAGGAACAGACUCAGAACCCUCUGAGACAGAAGCUGCCUCCAGGGGCCGAGGUAGCUGCUGUGCUAACUGGAGAGCUGGGCUUCCUUCCUCAGCCACUGGGGGCAUUUGUGCGACUUCGGGAUCCAGUGGUGCUGGGGACGCUCACUGAGUUGCCCCUCCCGAGCAGGUUUUUCUGCCUGCUCCUGGGCCCUGCCAUGCCGGGAAGGGGGUAUCGUGAGCUGGGUCGAGCAGCAGCUGUCCUCCUCAGUGACCUGCAAUUCCAGCGGUCAGUUCGUCGGGCUAGCAACCUUCAGGACCUUCUGGCUGCCCUGGAUGCCUUCCUAGAGGAAGUGACCGUGCUCCCCCCGGGUCGGUGGGACCCAACAGCGCGGAUUCUCCCGCCCAAAUGCCUGCCCUCGCCGCACAAAAGGUCGCACCCGCCGGAACGGGAGAUCCGGGGCCUCUCCGCGUCGUGCGCCGCCGGGGCAGAGCACAGCCCCGGCCGCGGGCCUCAAGGAGCCUGUCCAGAGUUGCAGCGCACUGGUCGGCUGUUUGGGGGUCUUGCGCAGGACGUGAGCCGGAAAGCUUCGUGGUACAGCACCGAUUUCUUGGACGCCCUGCACCCUCAGUGUUUCUCAGCUGUGCUCUACAUCUACCUGGCCACCGUCACUAACGCCAUUACUUUCGGGGGUCUGCUGGGAGACGCCACUGAUGGUGCCCAAGGAGUGCUGGAAAGUUUCCUGGGAACUGCCUCGGCUGGAGCUGCCUUCUGCCUGCUGGCAGGCCAGCCCCUCACCAUCCUCAGCAGCACCGGGCCGGUGCUGGUCUUUGAGCGCCUACUUUUCUCUUUCAGCAGAGAUCACAACCUGGACUACCUGCCUUUCCGCCUGUGGGUGGGCAUCUGGGUGGCCACCUUCUGCCUGGUGCUGGUGGCCACAGAGGCCAGUGUGCUGGUGCGCUACUUCACCCGAUUCACAGAGGAAGGCUUCUGUGCCCUCAUCAGCCUCAUCUUCAUCUACGAUGCCCUGGGCAAAAUGGUGAAUUUGACCCAUGCAUAUCCCAUCCAAAGGCCUGGGUCCCCUGGCUAUGGUUGCUUCUGUCAAUACCCAGGCCUACAAGGAAAUGAGUCUCAGUGGGCAACAACAAAGCCAAAGAACAGAGAUGACAUCUUAAGCAUGGACCUAGGCCUGGUCAAUGCAUCUUUGCUGCCUCCAUUUGAGUGCACCCAACAGGGAGGCCAACCUCGUGGCCCUGGCUGUCACACAGUCCCAGACAUUGCCUUCUUCUCCCUUCUGCUCUUCCUUACCUCCUUCUUCUUUGCUACGGCCUUCAAGCACGUAAAGACAAGUCACUUCUUCCCCUCCGUGGUGCGCAAAGUGCUCAGCGACUUCUCCUCAGUCCUGGCCAUCCUGCUGGGCUGUGGCCUUGAUGCAUUCCUGGGCCUAGCCACACCGAAGCUCACGGUGCCUACAGAGUUCAAGCCCACACUCCCUGGGCGUGGCUGGCUGGUAUCACCUUUUGGAGCCAACCCGUGGUGGUUAAGUGUGGCAGCUGCCCUGCCUGCCCUGCUGCUGUCUAUCCUUAUCUUCAUGGACCAGCAGAUCACAGCAGUCAUCCUCAACCGUGCAGAAUAUAAGCUGCAGAAAGGAGCUGGCUUCCAUUUGGACCUCUUUUGUGUGGCUGUGCUGAUUCUGCUCACAUCAACACUUGGGCUGCCCUGGUAUGUGUCAGCCACUGUCAUCUCCUUGGCCCACAUGGACAGUCUUCGGAGAGAAAGCAGAGCCUGUGCCCCUGGGGAGGCCCCCAGCUUCCUGGGCAUCAGGGAGCAGAGGCUGACAGGCCUGGUGGUGUUCAUUCUCACUGGCCUCUCCAUCUUCCUGGCACCUGUACUCAAGUUCAUCCCAAUGCCUGUGCUCUAUGGAAUCUUUCUGUACAUGGGGGUUGCAGCACUUAGCAGCAUCCAGUUUGUGAAGAGAGUGCAGCUACUGUUGAUGCCAGCAAAACACCAGCCAGACCUGCUGCUCUUGCGGCAUGUGCCUCUGAACAAAGUACACCUCUUCACUGCCAUCCAGCUUGUCUGCCUAGGUCUGCUUUGGAUAAUCAAGUCUACCCCUGCAGCCAUCAUCUUCCCCCUUAUGUUGCUGGGCCUGGUGGGUGUCCGAAAGGCACUAGAGUGGGUCUUCUCAGCACAGGAACUCCUCUGGCUGGAUGAGCUCAUGCCACAGGAGGAAAGUAUUCCUGAGAAGGGACUGGAGCCAGAGCAUUCAUUUGGUGGAGAUGAAAGCGAAGAUUCAGAGCUUAUGUAUCAACCAAAAGUUCCAGAAAUCAACAUCUCUGUAAAUUAGUUGGAGCAAGAGUCUGGGAGUGGAGAUCCUACAGAACCGAUCAUAAGUCCCUCAUGAACCCUAGAGCUGGAGAAGAAACAGCAAGGUCUACCCAGAGGGAAGAAUCAAAUAGGCAAGUUCACAGGUGUUUACUCAGAAAGUCAGGACAUUGUUCGCCUUUGACUUAGUUGCCAGAUGCUGUCGGCUGGGGACCUGAAACAAUGAGGCAGGACUGAAGAACAGUUGGCAAAGAUGCCAGUCACCUCCUGAGCUGGCAGUGGUGGAAGUAGCAAGGAGCAAGUAGAUUUGCUGGUGCUUAGGGAAGGCUGGUGAGCCAGAGGGACUGACCAUUCAUUUACUCUCUGCCCAUUAAAGGGACUAUUAGGGCUUGUGUCUAGAUGUUUCCCCAAAGCCUCAUGCAGUCAUAAUUGGGGUUUUAUAGAGGUGGCUGGAUCUAGAGUGUGACUGAUUCAUGGUGCAAUGCUGGGAUUAAGGGUGGGUGAUUACUAAAUCAGUUCACUGAUCUAGACUCAAUAGCCUAGAUGGAGUACAACAAAAGGGGCAGAAAAAAGCUGCUAAAAUCACUUGCUUGCUUUGCUACCUUCUGCCCACCAUGAACUGUUUUUCU
Chinchilla lanigera (long-tailed chinchilla) is the source of this 4050-nucleotide RNA transcript. It is a transcript of the gene named solute carrier family 4, sodium bicarbonate cotransporter, member 9, with no coding region annotated. The transcript has 23 exons. The record is from RefSeq and is a predicted model, not a curated record. NCBI's taxonomy places the organism in Eukaryota, Metazoa, Chordata, Mammalia, Rodentia, Chinchillidae.